Panthera uncia (snow leopard) is the source of this 1934-nucleotide long non-coding RNA. RefSeq lists it as uncharacterized. Lineage: Eukaryota; Metazoa; Chordata; Mammalia; Carnivora; Felidae. The transcript is spliced from 2 exons. The record is from RefSeq and is a predicted model, not a curated record.
ACCUACAAGACAAGAAAAUAUAGAACACUUACAUUAAUUUGAAUGCCAUUAACCCAGAAUUUUUAAAUAAUUUAAUCUAAAUUAAAUAUUUAAAUAUUAAACAUUUAACUAAGCAGGUGAAUUAUGUAAGCAGUAUUACCAAGUACAUAUUAAAUUAUUAAGAGAUUAAGGAUUUCAGUGUGGGAAAUUUUAUUAGUUUAUUUUUUUAUUAUUAUUUUUUAUGUCAUUUAUUGUUAAGUUAGCUAACAUACAAUGUGCACUUGGCUUCAGGAGUAGAUUCCUGUGAUCAGUGUGGAAAUUCUUAUGCCACCAUAAAAAUAGAUGUUUAAAAUGAUGGUUAAGGGGUUGGGGCUCCUGGAUGGCUCAGUUGGUUGGGCGUCCGACUUUGACUCAGGUCGUGAUCUCACAGUUUGUGGGUUCGAGCCCCGUGUCGGGCUCUGUGCUGACAGCUCAGAGCCCGGAGCCUGUUUCAGAUUCUGUCUCCCUCUCUCUCUGCCCCUCCCCCACUCAUGCUCUGUCUCUGUCUCUCUCAAAAAUAAAUAAACAUUAAAAAAAUGAUGGCUAAGGGGCACGUGGCUGUCUCAGUCAUUAGAGUCUGCAACUCUUGAUCUCGAGGUUGUAGGUUAGAGCCCCAUGUUAGGUAUAGAGAUUACUUAAAAAAAAUGAAACCUUUAAAAAUAUAAUGAUGGUUAAGUGGUAUAGUUAGAAAUGUUUACACUAAACAAACAUCAGAAAUGCCUCUAACUUUGCUAAUUACAGAAUAAACAUCUCUCCAGCCUCAUUGUCAAGGAAGAAAUGUUUGCAUAUAUCUCUGUACAUUAGACAUACAGAGAUACUAAUGUUCUUUGCUAUGGAGGUUCAGUGUUUAUUCUUUGUCCAUGCCAUGCAAAGCUGUGUAUUUCAUUAAUCCUUUUUUAAAAAUUUUUUUAAUGUUUAUUUAUUUUUGAGAGAGAGAGAGAGACAGAGUAUGAGCAGGGUAGGCACAGAGAGAGAGGGAGACACAGAAUCCGAAGCGGGCUUCAGUCUCUGAGCUGUUGGCCCAGAUCCCGAUGCGGGGCUCGAAUUCAUGAGCAGUGAGAUCAUGACCUGAACCGAACGAAGUCAGAUGCUCAAUUGACUAAGCCAUCCAGGCGCCCCUCAUUAAUCCUUAUUAAUGAUGUGCUUUAGAAAAUAGAUUCUUCUUGCAAAUGUGGAAGGCUUAAGGGUAGUGAGUAAAAAGAAUCUCAUAUGACACUAAAAAUAGUCCUUCAAAUUAUCAAACCUUCCAAGUCUUAGGGGACAACCACUUUGUAUUGGUCUUCUUGGCUACCUCUGCCAUCUGGGCUCCAAACGUUACAAACACAGUUUGGAGAAAAACAAAAGAGACAAACUGCGCAAUGGAUAGGGCCUUUCAUUAUUUCUACUAUGAGGUACUUUGUAAGCCAAUUAUUUCAUGUCAGGUGAAGUGUUCUCAUUCAUUCAUUCAUUCAAAAAAAAUGUGAAUCAAAACCUAAAAAAGAAUGUGACAGGCCCUAUGCCCAGUACCAUAGGCACGCAGAUGGUUAAGACAGGCUUCCCACCCUUGUAGGAACUCAUGAUUUCACAGGGAAAAUAAACAGAAGCUUAAACCAUAACGCCUAAGCACUAAAUGGAUGAUGAAGCACUGACAAAGUGCAGAAGAGGGAGCCACAAAGUCAUAAAACCACAUUUCUUUUCAGUCGUUUUGCUCCUUCUACUCACUACCCAGCUGUUAAUUUAUUUUAUAAAUAUUUGAGUUUGUUCUUUGUCCAUGCAUCAGUUUUAAACACAGUAGACAACGCAGAUGAGCAAGACUAGUCCAUACUUUCAUGGAGUUUAUGCCCAGAGGAAAUGGAAUGCCAGAAUAACUAUAUUAAGAAGAAAUUGGGGCACCUGACCGGCUGAGUCAGUAGAGCAUGCGACUCUUGAUCUCAGGG